RNAcentral lists this ribosomal RNA (2617 nucleotides) under Staphylococcus aureus. Its description in RNAcentral is "partial 23S ribosomal RNA". It matches the Rfam family "Bacterial large subunit ribosomal RNA", at positions 287 to 2904 of the family's 2925-position model. Lineage: Bacteria; Bacillati; Bacillota; Bacilli; Caryophanales; Staphylococcaceae. The record is from RNAcentral.
GCUUGUUGGGGUUGUAGGACACUCUAUACGGAGUUACAAAGGACGACAUUAGACGAAUCAUCUGGAAAGAUGAAUCAAAGAAGGUAAUAAUCCUGUAGUCGAAAAUGUUGUCUCUCUUGAGUGGAUCCUGAGUACGACGGAGCACGUGAAAUUCCGUCGGAAUCUGGGAGGACCAUCUCCUAAGGCUAAAUACUCUCUAGUGACCGAUAGUGAACCAGUACCGUGAGGGAAAGGUGAAAAGCACCCCGGAAGGGGAGUGAAAUAGAACCUGAAACCGUGUGCUUACAAGUAGUCAGAGCCCGUUAAUGGGUGAUGGCGUGCCUUUUGUAGAAUGAACCGGCGAGUUACGAUUUGAUGCAAGGUUAAGCAGUAAAUGUGGAGCCGUAGCGAAAGCGAGUCUGAAUAGGGCGUUUAGUAUUUGGUCGUAGACCCGAAACCAGGUGAUCUACCCUUGGUCAGGUUGAAGUUCAGGUAACACUGAAUGGAGGACCGAACCGACUUACGUUGAAAAGUGAGCGGAUGAACUGAGGGUAGCGGAGAAAUUCCAAUCGAACCUGGAGAUAGCUGGUUCUCUCCGAAAUAGCUUUAGGGCUAGCCUCAAGUGAUGAUUAUUGGAGGUAGAGCACUGUUUGGACGAGGGGCCCCUCUCGGGUUACCGAAUUCAGACAAACUCCGAAUGCCAAUUAAUUUAACUUGGGAGUCAGAACAUGGGUGAUAAGGUCCGUGUUCGAAAGGGAAACAGCCCAGACCACCAGCUAAGGUCCCAAAAUAUAUGUUAAGUGGAAAAGGAUGUGGCGUUGCCCAGACAACUAGGAUGUUGGCUUAGAAGCAGCCAUCAUUUAAAGAGUGCGUAAUAGCUCACUAGUCGAGUGACACUGCGCCGAAAAUGUACCGGGGCUAAACAUAUUACCGAAGCUGUGGAUUGUCCUUUGGACAAUGGUAGGAGAGCGUUCUAAGGGCGUUGAAGCAUGAUCGUAAGGACAUGUGGAGCGCUUAGAAGUGAGAAUGCCGGUGUGAGUAGCGAAAGACGGGUGAGAAUCCCGUCCACCGAUUGACUAAGGUUUCCAGAGGAAGGCUCGUCCGCUCUGGGUUAGUCGGGUCCUAAGCUGAGGCCGACAGGCGUAGGCGAUGGAUAACAGGUUGAUAUUCCUGUACCACCUAUAAUCGUUUUAAUCGAUGGGGGGACGCAGUAGGAUAGGCGAAGCGUGCGAUUGGAUUGCACGUCUAAGCAGUAAGGCUGAGUAUUAGGCAAAUCCGGUACUCGUUAAGGCUGAGCUGUGAUGGGGAGAAGACAUUGUGUCUUCGAGUCGUUGAUUUCACACUGCCGAGAAAAGCCUCUAGAUAGAAAAUAGGUGCCCGUACCGCAAACCGACACAGGUAGUCAAGAUGAGAAUUCUAAGGUGAGCGAGCGAACUCUCGUUAAGGAACUCGGCAAAAUGACCCCGUAACUUCGGGAGAAGGGGUGCUCUUUAGGGUUAACGCCCAGAAGAGCCGCAGUGAAUAGGCCCAAGCGACUGUUUAUCAAAAACACAGGUCUCUGCUAAACCGUAAGGUGAUGUAUAGGGGCUGACGCCUGCCCGGUGCUGGAAGGUUAAGAGGAGUGGUUAGCUUCUGCGAAGCUACGAAUCGAAGCCCCAGUAAACGGCGGCCGUAACUAUAACGGUCCUAAGGUAGCGAAAUUCCUUGUCGGGUAAGUUCCGACCCGCACGAAAGGCGUAACGAUUUGGGCACUGUCUCAACGAGAGACUCGGUGAAAUCAUAGUACCUGUGAAGAUGCAGGUUACCCGCGACAGGACGGAAAGACCCCGUGGAGCUUUACUGUAGCCUGAUAUUGAAAUUCGGCACAGCUUGUACAGGAUAGGUAGGAGCCUUUGAAACGUGAGCGCUAGCUUACGUGGAGGCGCUGGUGGGAUACUACCCUAGCUGUGUUGGCUUUCUAACCCGCACCACUUAUCGUGGUGGGAGACAGUGUCAGGCGGGCAGUUUGACUGGGGCGGUCGCCUCCUAAAAGGUAACGGAGGCGCUCAAAGGUUCCCUCAGAAUGGUUGGAAAUCAUUCAUAGAGUGUAAAGGCAUAAGGGAGCUUGACUGCGAGACCUACAAGUCGAGCAGGGUCGAAAGACGGACUUAGUGAUCCGGUGGUUCCGCAUGGAAGGGCCAUCGCUCAACGGAUAAAAGCUACCCCGGGGAUAACAGGCUUAUCUCCCCCAAGAGUUCACAUCGACGGGGAGGUUUGGCACCUCGAUGUCGGCUCAUCGCAUCCUGGGGCUGUAGUCGGUCCCAAGGGUUGGGCUGUUCGCCCAUUAAAGCGGUACGCGAGCUGGGUUCAGAACGUCGUGAGACAGUUCGGUCCCUAUCCGUCGUGGGCGUAGGAAAUUUGAGAGGAGCUGUCCUUAGUACGAGAGGACCGGGAUGGACAUACCUCUGGUGUACCAGUUGUCGUGCCAACGGCAUAGCUGGGUAGCUAUGUGUGGACGGGAUAAGUGCUGAAAGCAUCUAAGCAUGAAGCCCCCCUCAAGAUGAGAUUUCCCAACUUCGGUUAUAAGAUCCCUCAAAGAUGAUGAGGUUAAUAGGUUCGAGGUGGAAGCAUGGUGACAUGUGGAGCUGACGAAUACUAA